AUAAAAUUAUUUAAGAAAUGAACUAAUGGAGGAUUUAACACAAUAUGAGACUUUUGAUUUUCUCUCAAUUAAUUUUGCUGAUUUUUAAUUUAAUCAAUGUUAAUUGACACAUGUCAUUUUCUUGUGUGAUGAUGUGUCACCCAUAUGGAGAAAGUUGGCCAACUUUCAUAUAUAUGAUUUACAAGAGUUUUUAAACGGUUUCUUAUAAUUUCUUUUAAAAUCUUUUAAAAACUCUUGUACAUCUUUUAAAACCCUUUAAAAAUCCCUUGUAAAUCUUUUAAAACACUUUUAAAUCCUUUAAAAAUCUUUAAAAAACUCUUGUAAGUCUUUUAAAGCCCUUUAAAAUCCCUUGUAAAUCUUUUAAAACCCUUUUAAAAUCCCUUGUAAAUCUUUUAAACCCUUUUAAAAUCUUUUGUAAAUCUUUUAAAACCCUUUUAAAAUCCCUUGUAAAUAUAUUUCCCGCCAAAAAACAAUUGUUUACGGGAAAAAUGUUUUCGAAAUUUUUUUUUGGCGGGAAAAUUUUGGCGGGAAAUUUUAUUUUGGAAUAUUUUAGGCAAAAAAUAUUAAUAUUUCAUUUUGUUAACCUAAAUCAAUUUACAAAUAGGAAUAAAAGGGUCAUUAAAAAUUUAAAUAGGGUAUAAAUGAAAAUGGUAAAUAGAAAAGGGUAGAAUUGAAAAGGGGUAGUGUGAAAAGGGCAUUAGAAAGAAUUUUUCAUUUUUAAUUAUACUUUCUUCUAAUUUUUAGUGAUCAUUUUAACCCUAUUUGAAAAUGUUUUAGGUUAACAAAAUGAAAUAUUGAUUUUUUCCACCAAAACGGCUUUUUGCCUAAAGAAACUUUCACGCCAAAAAAUUUCCCGCCAAAUUGGUUUUUUCAAAAACAAUUUUCCCCAUAUAACAAAAAAAAUGGCGGAAAAUAUAUUUUUAAAACCUUUGUAAUUCUUUUUAAAACUCUUGUAAAACUUUUUGAAACCUUUUGUAAGGGUUCACAAGAGUUUUAAAAUAU
RNAcentral lists this small RNA (1002 nucleotides) under Arabidopsis thaliana (thale cress). RNAcentral's name for it is "ATSL092920". The record is from RNAcentral. Lineage: Eukaryota; Viridiplantae; Streptophyta; Magnoliopsida; Brassicales; Brassicaceae.